RNAcentral lists this long non-coding RNA (917 nucleotides) under Cyanistes caeruleus (blue tit). Its description in RNAcentral is "lncRNA (ENSCCEG00000022736.1)". The record is from RNAcentral. Lineage: Eukaryota; Metazoa; Chordata; Aves; Passeriformes; Paridae.
UCCAUUUUAGCUAUAUACUCUAAAGGGCCGAUUUCUCCCUAAGCAUUGCAGCAAAGUGCCAUUUUUAAGAAAAACCACACUGAGAACGAAGCUCUUGAAAAUACACAUACUACACAUGCUUAUUGUCACAAUUAAGCAAUCAUGGAUGAAAUCUUAUAGCCCUACUGAAUUCAGCAGCAAGAAGUGGCAAAAGAAGUAGGAAUUUCCUUCAGUAGGAUGGAAGCAUUAUUAAAAACUCUGCUUGAAGUUCACUCUCAGGCUCUUAUGGGAAGAAACAAGUUGCUGAUUAUUAUAGUGUUAUCAUCCUUUUUUCUUUGAUUCUUCAGUCAGAAGAGAAAUAACACUCACUGGUGGCAAAAUAGGUUUUAGAAUUAUCACUCAGGGAGAUGAAUGCAGGACUUGUGUGCUUCACUCCUAGAUCUACUUCUGCUGCCAGCUGAACUGUCAGCUCUCACAAGCAUGAUGGUCUGCAUUUCCCUUUGCAGCGUUUUCUUCACCUUGAUAGAUUAUUAAGCACAGAUUUUUCUUCCAAAUGAGAGGUUGUAUUGUGGUACAUAGACAGGAUCUGAUUUACCACACUGCUGGGAGCUAAGUUGAAGUGACCCCAGCUUGCAAGACAUCCUCUUGGCAGUCUGCAAAAUGAAGUCUCUAAAGAACCAAGUGGCCUUGAGAACAGAUAUGAUGUGUGUGCUCUCUCUUAUCUUUCAGGUUUCUGUGUACAGAGCUGGGUUAGCAAUCUGCCUCCUAGUCCCAGAUGAUUGUAAACAAGCCUCUGUGUAUGCCUCCAGUAUAUUUUCUUCAGAGAGUUGGAGCAGCCUCCAGCACAGAAAUUUCAGCCAGUGUUAUUGCCUGUCAGUUCUAAUCCCUCAGAAUUUCAGCCAGCAAGGGUAUAAUAAGGUAAGUUUUGUCUUUUCAAA